GUAAGGAAUAUUGGUCAAUGGAGGCAACUCUGAACCAGCCAUGCCGCGUGCAGGAAGACGGCCCUCUGGGUUGUAAACUGCUUUUACCAGGGAAUAAACCCCAUUACGUGUAAUGGGCUGAAUGUACCUGGUGAAUAAGGAUCGGCUAACUCCGUGCCAGCAGCCGCGGUAAUACGGAGGAUCCGAGCGUUAUCCGGAAUUAUUGGGUUUAAAGGGUGCGUAGGCGGCCUGAUAAGUCAGGGGUGAAAGACGGUGGCUCAACCAUCGCAGUGCCUUUGAUACUGUCGGGCUUGAAUGUACUUGAGGUAGGCGGAAUGUGACAAGUAGCGGUGAAAUGCAUAGAUAUGUCACAGAACACCGAUUGCGAAGGCAGCUUACUAAAGUAUGAUUGACGCUGAGGCACGAAAGCGUGGGGAUCAAACAGGAUUAGAAACCCUUGUAGUCC
RNAcentral lists this ribosomal RNA (445 nucleotides) under uncultured bacterium. RNAcentral describes it as "bacterial SSU rRNA". It matches the Rfam family "Bacterial small subunit ribosomal RNA", at positions 354 to 796 of the family's 1533-position model. The record is from RNAcentral.